RNAcentral lists this long non-coding RNA (412 nucleotides) under Homo sapiens (human). RNAcentral describes it as "HSALNT0277171". The record is from RNAcentral. Lineage: Eukaryota; Metazoa; Chordata; Mammalia; Primates; Hominidae.
UUGGAGCUGAGACUGAAUUGGCAUUUUUAGUCUGGGCUGGCCAUUAGAAUGGGGAGAUUAUGAGCUCAGAAGGUGUGACGUGGAAUGUAACUGGAUUAUACAGAAAGAAUUAUUGAAAGGAGAAUGAACAGACGUGUCAAGUGAAGUGGAGACAGCGCCCUAAACUAAUUAAAGAGUAGCACUAUGUGUCUCAGAGGGUGAAAGAAGAUGGAGGAACGCCUCUGAGACUGAGGAAAGGAGUAGAGCUGCUAGAUCUGAAAUGCAGACUAAAACAGCAGGAAAAAUGGAACAACGCGUGGACACUCUGGACUGCUGACCAAAUGCUGGAGAGGCUUCCUCUGCUCUCUGGUAUCCUCUUGGAUAGGCUUAGCUGCCCUUAGGUUUUUUAAUUUGUCCCAGAAACCUUUAAAUG